Molecule: ribosomal RNA, 238 nt
Filed under: uncultured bacterium
Lineage: Bacteria
Description: partial 16S ribosomal RNA
Rfam family: Bacterial small subunit ribosomal RNA
Source: RNAcentral
UACGUAGGUGGCAAGCGUUGUCCGGAAUUAUUGGGCGUAAAGCGCGCGCAGGCGGUCCCUUAAGUCUGAUGUGAAAGCCCACGGCUCAACCGUGGAGGGUCAUUGGAAACUGGGGGACUUGAGUACAGAAGAGGAAAGCGGAAUUCCACGUGUAGCGGUGAAAUGCGUAGAGAUGUGGAGGAACACCAGUGGCGAAGGCGGCUUCUGGUCUGUAACUGACGCUGAGGCGCGAAAGCGU